AUCAUUUAGUUCUACUUUUCUAUCAGUUUGGACACAAACUGCUUUGGUGCAUAAUUUUUCUUUGGUGAUUUCUACCAGUUGGUCUUGGAGUUACAGGAUGAUGGGAGGCUUGCCACAUCUGAUGAUCCUUCUGUUAUAUUUGGCUGGUUGAAUGAGGAUUUCAUCCAAAAGACUGGACUGCAUGCUGGAAAUCUUUUACGCUUUGCUGUUAAUGAUGGCGGGUUAAGUUUUGUAGAUGGAAAGUUAGAGAAGGCAGAUUUGCAAUACCUUGGCCAAUCCAAUCGUGCGCGUGCAUUUGCGGAUAGUUACUCCAAGGUAAUGUUCCAGUACAUUGUCCGGCACUCUCCCUUGAAAAUUGAACAUCUUUUUGCAUCAAUUGGCCCUUUAGGUGAUGGUGAUAUUGCCAGCCAUGAUGUGGAAAUGGCGGCCUAAACACGUUU
This is a non-coding RNA of Coffea arabica (coffee), 440 nucleotides long. The record is from RefSeq and is a predicted model, not a curated record. NCBI's taxonomy places the organism in Eukaryota, Viridiplantae, Streptophyta, Magnoliopsida, Gentianales, Rubiaceae.